This 220-nucleotide ribosomal RNA is filed under the name uncultured bacterium. RNAcentral's name for it is "partial 16S ribosomal RNA". It matches the Rfam family "Bacterial small subunit ribosomal RNA", at positions 114 to 334 of the family's 1533-position model. The record is from RNAcentral.
CACGUGGGUGAUCUGCCCUGCACUCUGGGAUAAGCCUGGGAAACUGGGUCUAAUACCGGAUAGGACUACGGGAUGCAUGUCUUGUGGUGGAAAGCUUUAUGCGGUGUGGGAUGGGCCCGCGGCCUAUCAGCUUGUUGGUGGGGUGAUGGCCUACCAAGGCUGCGACGGGUAGCCGGCCUGAGAGGGUGUCCGGCCACACUGGGACUGAGAUACGGCCCAG